GUUGGGGGAAGCUGCUAAGAGCAUGGAUUUGCUUGGAGGCCCCAAUCUCGCCUGCUGGGGCCGCCUCCGAGGUGUCCUGGGGCUGCAGGGUCUGGCGGAGGCGCUGCCCUCUCUCCAUGGGAGAUAGACACUGCGCCGUGAGGACACCGCUGCCUCCACGCAGGUGCCGCUCCUACAGGCUUCCCUCCAGCUGGCCCUUCCUGCCAGGCCCUGGGACCACAGCAUGGGAAACCAGAGGGAACCCGACGUGACGACGCAGGAGAAGACGGCGACUUAGACGCCGGGAGAGGGGCCCUGGGACGGGUCGUUCCUUGCAGCCUCAGAAGGAGCCAGCCCUGCCCGUACCUUGAUCUGGGACUUCUGGCCUCCAGAACUGUGGGAGGAUGCACAUCUGCCAGUCCAGCCCCCAUCUGUGUGCUCUGUCGUGGGAGCGUGGGGAACCAGCAGGAACACUUCUCAGCUUACAGUGCAGGUCCGUCCUGAUGAACCCGAGGCAAGCGCGUGACAUCACUAAGUUGAGACUUCACUGACUGCACCUAACCUAGGGAACAUCACAGCUCAGCCCAGCCUACCGGAAACGUGCUCAGAACACCUACACCAACCUACAGCUGGGCACACGCAUCUAACGCAAAGCCUGUUUUAUAAUACAAAGUUGACUGUCUCAUGUAAGAGUACUGUACCGCAGAUUGCUGGCCCAGAAAAAGAUCAAAAUUCAAAA
This is a long non-coding RNA of Symphalangus syndactylus (siamang), 718 nucleotides long. RefSeq lists it as uncharacterized. NCBI's taxonomy places the organism in Eukaryota, Metazoa, Chordata, Mammalia, Primates, Hylobatidae. The record is from RefSeq and is a predicted model, not a curated record.